Non-coding RNA from Macaca mulatta (Rhesus monkey), 787 nucleotides. The record is from RefSeq and is a predicted model, not a curated record. NCBI's taxonomy places the organism in Eukaryota, Metazoa, Chordata, Mammalia, Primates, Cercopithecidae.
CCCAAGUCCCUUUCGGGAUCUUCCACUGCCGCUGCCUGAGGAGGAAGCUGCUUCGGACUCGGUGGCGCCUGAUGUGGCCUCUGAUAUCGACUGGGAGGUGGAAGAGAAAUUUGGGGAACGCAUCGAGAACCCUGGAAAAGCAACCUUCUCAGGGGGCGGUUCUCUGUGCCCGCGUGAACCUUCACAGUUGGAUGGAAGUGAUGAAACAGAGUUUUCAUAACUGGCCUGUUACAGAACCAGGGCCCGGGGCCAUCUAUUUCAUUUCCUUCUGUGUCUCCAGCUCAGGCCCCAGGCGGAGCUUAAACAAUCCCUUUUCUGUCCUCCAAACUGGACUCUAGCACAGGAGGAAGUUGUACUCUGAAGGUCCUUUGUCUGCCUGAAGUCUGGAUCCACCAAAAAAGAAAACAGUUACCUCUGGUCCCUUCCUCAAGUUUUCAUUAACUGAACUCAUUGCAAGAAGAAAGACAACUUGGUCCACACACAUGGAUAGACUUUCGUCACAAACCACUGUUUGCUCAUUGGGUCCAACAGAGUUUGUCCCAGGCCGUUGUAUAUUUCAAUUCCAUUGACUUCCCCUGAAGAUCAUUUACUACCUUCCUAAAUCAUCCACGUUUCCCCAUCUCCCUUUCACUCAAGAAGAGGAUAUGAGACCUUCAGGAAGACCUCCUGACAGUCUUACCGGAUGCUCUUGUAACAAGAUUCUCUACCCCACUGUGUGGUGAAGAAAUCGCUCUGUGAUUUUCCCCCAUGCACAUUAAUAAAUUUUGUCCGGCAUUUCUCCUAUUAA